Non-coding RNA from Lepus europaeus (European hare), 529 nucleotides. The record is from the annotation of a RefSeq genome assembly. Lineage: Eukaryota; Metazoa; Chordata; Mammalia; Lagomorpha; Leporidae.
AAGCCUGCAGUGUUCCCACGCCUCAGCCAUGCUCCUGGUGCUCAUCCCGGUGCUGGGGCUCCAAUGGGCCCUGAGAGACGCCAGAGCUCAGACCGUGACCCAGCCCGACGCCCAGGUCGCUGUGUCUGAAGGAGCCGCCCUGGAGCUGAGGUGCAGCUACUCCUAUGGGGCAUCUAUUUCUCUCUUCUGGUACGUCCAGUACCCGGGCCAAGGCCCUCAGCUCCUCCUGAAGUACCUGUCAGGGGACGCCCGGGUUCCCGGCAUCAGAGGCUUUGAGGCUGAGUUUAAGAAGAGCGAUUCUUCCUUCCACCUGAGGAAAGCCUCAGUGCAGGGGAGCGACGCGGCCCGGUACUUCUGCGUUGCCACAGUGCCUGGGCCUGCAGGGGGAGCCGGACACAAACCGCCCAGGAGUGCAGAUCUGAGAGCUCUUCCUGUGGUUUUCACAUUAAAAGUUGGCAAAACAGAUAAAGAGGGCUGGGCUGGUACUUCUUUGUUAUUCUUCAAUUCCUGCUGUGCUUUAGCUCCAUAA